UUUGAGGGCAUGGUCGACAAGGUGGACGUGGAGGUCAUGAUUGCCAUCGGCGGCGGCUUAUUGAUCGCCUCGUUUUUCCUCAUGUGCUGCUUCCUCUGUCUCUACUGCAAGCUGGCCAGCGCCUUGAGGAAACUAUGACGAUCAGCGGCAUCCACCGCAGAGGCAGGCGGCUGGGUGUGGAAGCUGAGAGGCUGCCUCCCCCCAAGGACAGAUGGACGGAGCCCGGAGCGCGCUGCUACAGACUGUCCUGAGAGGUGGGCCCCCGCGUCCCCCCACGGGCUGUCCUGUGAAGUACAGACGUCCAUGCCGA
Molecule: long non-coding RNA, 310 nt
Organism: Myotis brandtii (Brandt's bat)
Lineage: Eukaryota; Metazoa; Chordata; Mammalia; Chiroptera; Vespertilionidae
Exons: 2
Source: RefSeq, a predicted model, not a curated record